GUCCACGCCCUAAACUAUGGAUACUAGGUAUGGGGGGUAUCGACCCCCUCCGUGCCGAAGUUAACACGUUAAGUAUCCCGCCUGGGGAGUACGGCCGCAAGGUUAAAACUCAAAGGAAUUGACGGGGGCCCGCACAAGCAGCGGAGCGUGUGGUUUAAUUCGAUGCAACACGAAGAACCUUACCAAGGCUUGACAUACUGGAAGUAGAAUACCGAAAGGUCGACGACCUGUUAAAUCAGGAGCCAGCACAGGUGCUGCAUGGCUGUCGU
Molecule: ribosomal RNA, 269 nt
Filed under: uncultured bacterium
Lineage: Bacteria
Description: partial 16S ribosomal RNA
Rfam family: Bacterial small subunit ribosomal RNA
Source: RNAcentral